Small nuclear RNA from Protopterus annectens (West African lungfish), 137 nucleotides. RefSeq annotates it as U4 spliceosomal RNA. The record is from RefSeq and is a predicted model, not a curated record. NCBI's taxonomy places the organism in Eukaryota, Metazoa, Chordata, Ceratodontiformes, Protopteridae. The transcript has a single exon.
GGCUUUGUGCAGUGGCAGUAUCAUAACCAAUGAGGCUUAUCUGAGGUAUGAUUAUUGCUAAUUGAAAAUUAAUGUGGGUAUAAUCUAAAAGUCAUCCACUAUAACUUUCAAAAAAUGUAUGAACUUUAAGCCAUUAC